AUGGUGCUACAUCUCCCUUUCUCUUUGGAAAAAUCCAACUACUCCAUCAUGAGUAGUAGAAGAAUUUUUGGCGCCGUUGCCAGAGGGGUUACCAUCUACCAAAUCAGGUGCCUUCGCACAAACACCCUAUGUUUUCUUGUUUUUAUUUUCUUGUCUAGUUGCCUUUUCCUUUUAAUUUGCCUUCUUUUUGGUUUGCGAAAAAAAUUCCAAAAUAAUAAACAAAAUCUUGAGUUGCUAUCUCUGCUUGUGUCGCCACUAUGUCUACUCUUGAAGAAGUUGAUGUUGAAAGUGCUAGUGAAGAUAAUCCUAGCGAAAAUCAUGAGGAAGCACUUAAGAUACCUAACUUUAAUAAUGAUCCUCAUGAUAAUGAACCUCCUUUGA
RNAcentral lists this ribosomal RNA (381 nucleotides) under Triticum aestivum (bread wheat). RNAcentral describes it as "partial small subunit ribosomal RNA". Lineage: Eukaryota; Viridiplantae; Streptophyta; Magnoliopsida; Poales; Poaceae. The record is from RNAcentral.